RNAcentral lists this ribosomal RNA (500 nucleotides) under uncultured bacterium. RNAcentral describes it as "partial 16S ribosomal RNA". It matches the Rfam family "Bacterial small subunit ribosomal RNA", at positions 28 to 507 of the family's 1533-position model. The record is from RNAcentral.
GACGAACGCUGGCGGCGUGCUUAACACAUGCAAGUCGAACGGGUCUGCCCUGUUUUUUGCGGGGUGGGUCAGUGGCGAACGGGUGAGUAACACGUGAGUAACCUGCCCCUCACUUCUGGAUAACCGCUUGAAAGGGUGGCUAAUACGGGGUGUUCUGGCUGUGCCGCAUGGUGUGGCUGGGAAAGAUUCACUUUUGUGGUGUUUUGGUGGGGGAUGGGCUCGCGGCCUAUCAGCUUGGUGGUGGGGUGAUGGCCUGCCAAGGCUUUGACGGGUAGCCGGCCUGAGAGGGUGGGCGGCACUACUGGGACGGAGAGGCGGCCCAGACUCCUGCGGGAGGCAGCAGUGGGGGGUAUUGCACAAUGGGCGGAAGCAUGAUGCAGCGACGUCGCGGGAGGGAUGGAGGCCGUCGGGUUGUGAACCUCUUUCGCCGGUGAAGAAGGUCCUGCUCUUUGUGGUGGGGUUGACGGUAGCCGGGUUAUGAAGCGCCGGCUAACUACGUG